Molecule: ribosomal RNA, 152 nt
Filed under: uncultured bacterium
Lineage: Bacteria
Description: partial 16S ribosomal RNA
Rfam family: Bacterial small subunit ribosomal RNA
Source: RNAcentral
CCUACGGGAGGCAGCAAUCGGGAAUAUUGCGCAAUGGGCGAAAGCCUGACGCAGCAACGCCGUGUGAGGGAUGAAGGCCUUCGGAUCGUAAACCACUGUCAGAGGGGACGAAAUUGACGGUACCCUCAGAGGAAGCCCCGGCUAACUCCGUG